RNAcentral lists this transfer RNA (89 nucleotides) under Chloroflexota bacterium. RNAcentral's name for it is "Chloroflexi bacterium tRNA-Leu". It matches the Rfam family "tRNA". Rfam says of the family: Transfer RNA (tRNA) molecules are approximately 80 nucleotides in length. Their secondary structure includes four short double-helical elements and three loops (D, anti-codon, and T loops). The record is from RNAcentral. Lineage: Bacteria; Bacillati; Chloroflexota.
GCCGGGGUGGCGAAAUCGGCAGACGCAGCGGGCUUAAACCCCGCGGCCGCUCGCGCGGCGUGUGGGUUCGAAUCCCACCCCCGGCACCA